RNAcentral lists this long non-coding RNA (216 nucleotides) under Musa acuminata (dwarf banana). RNAcentral's name for it is "long non-coding RNA (MACU_LNC008433)". The record is from RNAcentral. Lineage: Eukaryota; Viridiplantae; Streptophyta; Magnoliopsida; Zingiberales; Musaceae.
GGACGACAUGAUUUAUGCUUAGUAAUAAUUGUCAAAAUCGAAGUGUGUUUUUAUAUGUGCAAGAUUAACUAUGAUACAAGGCAUAAAGCAAAAUGAAGUCCCGGAGUCAAGAACGUGAUUUCAUUGAGAGUUCGAGAGUUCAUUGGAAGUCCAGACGUUCAUCAGAAGUUCUGCCGGAACCUGUUGGGAAAUCUUGGGGCGACAUCACAUGCAUAG